ACCACCUGCUGGUGCCUAGCGGCGGCGCCACCAUUGUUGGCAUGGCGGAGCAACUGCGUGGGCGAUGCGGACGCCGCCAUCACCGUUGAGGUGGGGACUGGGAACGGCACGGCGCGGUUGACGCCGUGGCAGGCACGGCGCUCGCUGAUGGCGACGGUGAGGCAGCGACGCGGGAAGAUCGUGGCGAUUCCCCGUGAAAAUGAUGACGCUCUUGCACCUGGAGAAGGAGACCGGGGAGCAGCAUACGUAGGUGGUCUCUACGAGCUGUACGCGACGUUGCCGCCAUGCGGAGAAGGAGGGGGCUAGAGAGGGCCUUAUUCUUCAUAUGCUGUAGCUGGAUGAGCGGUAUUGGUCGAUGCAUUCCUCCGAGUCGUAGGCGAGCUCGCGGAGCUGCUUCAUCCACUCUAGGACGAAGUGGUCCACGUUGUUUACGAGGUUCUAAGC
This 444-nucleotide long non-coding RNA is filed under the name Oryza sativa Indica Group (long-grained rice). Its description in RNAcentral is "lncRNA OsZS97_03G013660". Lineage: Eukaryota; Viridiplantae; Streptophyta; Magnoliopsida; Poales; Poaceae. The record is from RNAcentral.